This 497-nucleotide ribosomal RNA is filed under the name uncultured bacterium. RNAcentral describes it as "partial 16S ribosomal RNA". It matches the Rfam family "Bacterial small subunit ribosomal RNA", at positions 28 to 507 of the family's 1533-position model. The record is from RNAcentral.
GAUGAACGCUGGCGGCGUGCCUAAUACAUGCAAGUCGAGCGGACGGACGAGACGUUUGCUUCUCUGCAGUUACCGGCGGGCGAGUGAGUCCCACGUAGCUAACCUACAUAUAAGAAUAGGAUACCUUAGCGGACCCUGAUAUCACACACGUUCUUAUUUUGAACCGCAUGGUUCAUAAGUUCACACCGGUUUUGCUGUCCCUAAUUCAUGUAUCCGAGCUGCAUUAGCUAGUUGGUACGGUAACGGCUUACCAAGGCUACGAUGCAUAGCUGAUCUGAGAGGGUGAUCGGCCACACUGGAACUGAGACACGGUCCAGACUCCUACGGGAGGCAGCAGUAGGGAAUCUUCGGCAAUGGGCGAAAGCCUGAUGGAGCAACGCCGCGUGAGUGAUGAAGGUCUUCGGAUCGUAAAACUCUGUUAUUAGGGAAGAACAUAUGUGUAAGUAACUGUUGACAUCUUGACGUUACCUAAUCAGAAAGCCACGGCUAACUACGUG